Molecule: transfer RNA, 77 nt
Filed under: Aliiroseovarius crassostreae
Lineage: Bacteria; Pseudomonadati; Pseudomonadota; Alphaproteobacteria; Rhodobacterales; Paracoccaceae
Also listed under: 6 other names
Description: tRNA_Arg_TCT
Rfam family: tRNA
About the family: Transfer RNA (tRNA) molecules are approximately 80 nucleotides in length. Their secondary structure includes four short double-helical elements and three loops (D, anti-codon, and T loops).
Source: RNAcentral
GGCCCCGUAGCUCAACUGGAUAGAGCAGCUGACUUCUAAUCAGCAGGUUGAGGAUUCGAGUUCUUCCGGGGUCGCCA